RNAcentral lists this ribosomal RNA (301 nucleotides) under uncultured bacterium. RNAcentral describes it as "partial 16S ribosomal RNA". It matches the Rfam family "Bacterial small subunit ribosomal RNA", at positions 509 to 807 of the family's 1533-position model. The record is from RNAcentral.
CAGUCGCCACGGUAAUACGGAGGGGGCUAGCGUUGUUCGGAAUUACUGGGCGUAAAGCGCACGUAGGCGGCUUGGUAAGUUAGAGGUGAAAGCCCGGAGCUCAACUCCGGAAUUGCCUUUAAGACUGCCGAGCUAGCAGGUGAGAGAGGUGAGUGGAAUUCCGAGUGUAGAGGUGAAAUUCGUAGAUAUUCGGAAGAACACCAGUGGCGAAGGCGGCUCACUGGCUCAUACUGGACGCUGAGGUGCGAAAGCGUGGGGAGCAAACAGGAUUAGAUACCCGCGUAGUCCCUGUCUCUUAUAC